This 497-nucleotide ribosomal RNA is filed under the name uncultured bacterium. Its description in RNAcentral is "partial 16S ribosomal RNA". It matches the Rfam family "Bacterial small subunit ribosomal RNA", at positions 31 to 507 of the family's 1533-position model. The record is from RNAcentral.
GAAGAAAGCUGGCGGCGUGCCUAAUACAUGCAAGUUGAGCGCUGAAGGUUGGUACUUGUACCAACUGGAUGAGCAGCGAACGGGUGAGUAACGCGUGGGGAAUCUGCCUUUGAGCGGGGGACAACAUUUGGAAACGAAUGCUAAUACCGCAUAAAAACUUUAAACACAAGUUUUAAGUUUGAAAGAUGCAAUUGCAUCACUCAAAGAUGAUCCCGCGUUGUAUUAGCUAGUUGGUGAGGUAAAGGCUCACCAAGGCGAUGAUACAUAGCCGACCUGAGAGGGUGAUCGGCCACAUUGGGACUGAGACACGGCCCAAACUCCUACGGGAGGCAGCAGUAGGGAAUCUUCGGCAAUGGACGAAAGUCUGACCGAGCAACGCCGCGGGAGUGAAGAAGGUUUUCGGAUCGUAAAACUCUGUUGGUAGAGAAGAACGUUGGUGAGAGUGGAAAGCUCAUCAAGUGACGGUAACUACCCAGAAAGGGACGGCUAACUACGUG